This 3530-nucleotide long non-coding RNA is filed under the name Homo sapiens (human). RNAcentral's name for it is "HSALNT0330472". The record is from RNAcentral. Lineage: Eukaryota; Metazoa; Chordata; Mammalia; Primates; Hominidae.
ACAUGGCUAUGAUUGGUUAUAUGAGUUUGUGAAAUUACAAACCUAAUUUCUGGGUGGUGUCAAAGAUGGGAUUACCUGAAACGGAUUCCCACGUUGCUUUGUGAUUUGGUGAUUAUGGUUCUUGACUUCUCUAAGAGAGGAAUAAAAGUGCCACACUCACUAAUGACCAAAUUGGUCAGUUCCACUCAUAUGCCCCCUAUAGCCUCUUUACCAUCUAGCCUUUCCAGAGUUAACCUAUUGUAAAAUUAGAUUGUAAAAAUGGACAGAGUGGCCACCACUCUGGGAUAAGGGUGAAGGACUCAUGGUGUCAUCCCCACUAAAUACUCCAGUGGAAAUUAUCACUUAAUUAUUUGUGAUAUCACCCAGCUCCCCAAAGAGCUGGCCUUCCUUUUCAGCCCCAGUUAUCUUUUGGAAGUGUAACUCUUUCAGUUUGAUUGUCCUGGGAACACAUGCAGUUUUCUCUUGAUGGGGAAACCCCUCUCUGAAGGUCUGCGUUUUAAGUGGCAGAGAUGCAAAAACAGCCUUCUAGACAGAGUUUCUAAUUGAAUUCUCCUCUAUACCGUUAUCCAUAAACUGAGUAAUGCAUCCAAGGAAGAAGAGAGGAUGAGAGAGGUCAGGAAGUUUAGAUUCCAGUAAAAUUUAAAUAGCCACUGAAUUUGCCAUAGCAAAACAUGAGCUAUGAUUCUGUUAGUACACAGGAAAAGUCAAUUAGGUGAACUGAUUUUUUAUGGUGUUGGGAAUAUUAUAAUUCAGGGAUUCUUAACCUAUAGCUUAACCUAUAGGCAAUUUAAGACUAGAUUUCAGGGGUAGGGCAGUGAAACUUCUAAAAUUGCUGUAACAUUUUUUAUUAAGUCAUAGGCAGUUUCCUAGGGAGAGGCUUUUAUCAAAUUCUCAGAAGGGUCCACUGCCAUAAAAGAUUAAGGAACCACUGCAUUCUAUCAUCAUAAUUUUUUGUCUUCUUUCAAAAGUUGAUAUUCUGGUUUUUUUUAUGCAGAAAAGACAAAAGCAUGUACAACUCUGAUAUUUCAUGAUCUUUAAUUUCUUCCCCCUCCUGGAUGUCCUAUAAUAAAUGUACAGGAAAGAAAUAUAAAACGCUAUCCAAACUCAGUUAAUAGCUCUGAGAAAUGCACACUCAGAGUGCUUUAAAAUCAGGUUACAAAUAUCAUUUUCAAUUUGCUGGGGAGAAAAUAGGAAGAGUCCCUUGGAAUACAGAAUAAAUUCAUUCUAUGUACAUUAUCAGUGUUGGUUCAUUAUAUUCUCAUUGGCCCACAACUCAACACAUCUUUAAGAAGCAAAAGUGCAUACACUCUCCCUUACUGACAAUAUUUAGGGGAAGACCACAUACUUUGUGAACUACUGUGAGUUGAGUUCUUGUAGUCAAAGCAGUAGUAGGUGGAGCUUCAUUCUCUGGUAUUAAAAUCCUAAAAGUGAGUAGUGUUAUUAAUUGGGGGCACUUUUGAGAUUUGAUUAAGAAAUUUACUGCUCUUGUGGGUUGUUUCCUCCCUUGUGGGAUGUUCUGGAUGAAUGUCAAGGUCUAGCCCCGGCAGAUUCCAGAAAGCUUGUCCAUCUAAAUUUGCUGUUAAGCCAUGGGAACUUUUCUAUUGCAGUCUUUGGGUCAUGGUAACGUGUAAAGCCUAGAGUUUGUUGAAGGGCACUUUUCUCUCUCUAAAAUUCUCCAUUCCUCACAACUGGUUUUUAUUAUUCCGUGACAUGCUGGGAGUGUUGCUAUGACUGUUUGAGAAGUAUGGGCAGAUAUAUUGCUGGCUGGCUUCUUACAGGAAGAGUUUCCCAUGAUGGGAGUGAGAGACCCCUGGGGCCACCUGGAAACUGCCCACUCUUGUAAGAUGUUGCUCAGCGUUCUUGGGACCCAGGAAUUCACUGCUCCAAAGGCCCUGAGUUCACUUUCAAGGCUUGGUUCUGCAGGGUGUACUCAUGUGUGCACCCUGAGUCUUGAGGAGUAGACAAAGGGCUUUUGUGGAGGAUGAGGAGGGAGAUUGGAUGUGAGCACUGCUGUGUUCAUACGUGUGCUGUGUUCUGAUCCUUGAGAUUUGGAUCAGAGCCAGAGGUGGAAAGAGAAGAGGAUGGGGUGUAGUUGGGGCUGGCCUCCCUAUGCCACUGACUACUUGAGAGGAACAUUGAAGAACUGAAAAUUCUACAAUCGAAGUUGGCUUUCCAGGUUGUUAUAAAGAAGUAUUUGUCAAGACAGGAGGUAUAACAUAUUUCAUUUAAAAGUUUGCUAGCUUGUUUUAUAGCUUUUAAAUAUUUAGACACGUGGAGUAGCACAGAGUGCACUGUGAUAUGAAGAAAGAAGGAACUGAGAUUUUUAUCAUGCAGUGAUCCUGUGCCAGGCAGGGUGCUGGGUUCUUUCUUAAAUCAUCCAGUUAAUCCUUACAAUGACCCUGUAAGAAGGUCGGAGAGGGUAAGGCAUAUAUCCAAGCUCACAGAGCUUAACAAAUGGCAGAUCCUGGAGUCAUUCUGCUCUCCACAGGAUGCCCUGUUCGGGGCUUUUUCCUCAACACCACACUGAGGGGUGUCAAGAGCCUCUCUUGCACUGGAAGAUUAUUUAGCUUUUUAGACUCAGGACUCAGAAGAGCCUUGGAGAUUAUAUAGUCACCGAAUCCUGACACCUGUGCAUUUGCUGCUGAAUUCACAGCAGUUCUAAGCCAAGCAUAUGAGCGUCCCCCUAGCAUUGAUCUGCUACUGUGCCUAAAAGUUUCCCCUGCAGUGACUAUUCCACAUGAAACCAUUGUGCCUUGUUAAAUAAAAUAUGACUGUAUCAUGAAGACACCACCAAUACUUAGGUUCAGGUGAUUUUAUGCCACUAGUAAGAAUCCAAGGACAAUGUGUUAUUGGGGAGAAGUAGAAAAAGGAAAAUCUGGGGUAGCACCUGGCAUGCUCUUUCUCCAAUUUUCUACUACUUACUCCUAUUCCCCAAAUUCUCCCAUCAAGGAGGAAAUGAACUCUGAGACAGAAGAUGAGUUUUCCUCAAAGCUUGACCAGGAUAUAAGUGGAUGCCUUAUUGGGCAAAGCAGAGGGUAACCAAUUAGAAGGCCCUGGCUUCUCUUGAUUGAUAGCUGAGAACUCGUCAGAGGGAUCAGUGCUUUCUCUGUGUAUUGCUGGAGUCUGAAAGUGUGACUCUCAUGUCACUGAUUCAUUUCUGAAGUGUUAAAUUCAGAAUAAAUUUUUGAUAAUCAAAAUGAACUUAGAGAACUUUGUUGUUUGGCAUUGUCAAGAGUGAAGAAUUCUUGCCUAAUGCAAAAAGUCAUCCAUGAAUUUUCUGCCAUAUUAGUUUGAGCAAAACUGUGUUUUUUGCCCUACUGGAUCUCUUAAUGUAAUGACAUGUUUGGGAUUUUGAGGUUGAAAUGAAUUUCUGAUAAAAUAACCAUUCCAAUGAUAAAAUGUAAAAUGGUAAUGCAAGAUCAGUCACUCUCGUUAUGAGACUUCUGGCUCAUAUGAUUAUAAGUGUUAAAGCCAGGCAAAAUCUUAGGCGUAGAGUUCCAAGAAAUAUUAUACUUUACUCAAAAGGCGUG